CUGGGACUUAAACAGAAGAAAAAUUGUUACUGAGAACAAAACAGAAACACAGGCAUUUUGGCCCACAGAUCUCUAUUAAGAGAAAAAUACAAAGAAUAAAUGAGUAAGGCUCUUGAAACCAUUGAAUUGUACAAACUUUGGUGGUUUUAAAUCUGGAUUUGUGAAUAGCUGAGCCCGUUCACUGUCCCAUUUUGGAGAACCAUGAGGCAUUCUACAAUCUAGCCCUUCUCCAGGUGGAUGCUUACCUGUCCGCCCAACCACAUUUAUCUGAUUCUUCAGGGACCCGCUGACUGAGGCAAUCAUGAUCUGGUACUGCUCCCCGGCCUCCAGUCUGUGGAACGUGUGCUCAAAGACGUGCUUGGGAAUAGUCUGAGAGUCAACCUUUUGACUGUGCCUGAAUGCCGACACCGUGUAGGAAUCAACGUCUCCCCCACCAGGAGUCCAGUUCACCGUCAGGCUAUCUGUUGCUCCAUUGGGAGAAAUGUGAAUAUUUUUGACAGCACUAGGAACUAAAACAGAAAAUAAAUUUAAAAGUCAUCACUUAGAGAAUGAACUGUUGAAAUUUUCAAACAAAGUUUUGAAUGCUUCUGAUGUUUUGGCACCCACUGAGAGAACUCACAUGAAAAAGAAAGUAACAAUUUGCCACUUUUCUCUGAUUUUUCUGUGUGAACUAAAGUUGAUGGGGGAAAGCUUAGGGGGAAGUCAAAGCCGGUGAGUGGAAAUGAGGAAUGCUAAUUAUAUAGCGAGGGGCUAGUUAGGGUGUCUUGGUCCAAGUUUUGGUUUUCUCACUCACUAGCUGUGGGACUACAGGCAAAUUACUUGACCUCUGUAAGUUUUAGUUUCUUCAUUAGGAAAAAUGGCAGUGAUGAUAAUACUAACCAGCCCAUAGAGUUGUGAAGAUUGAUUCUUUUUUAAUUUAAUUUUAUUUUAUUUUUGAGGUAGGGUCUCUGUCUGUUGUCCAGGCUGGAGUGCAAUGGCAUGAUUAUGGCUCACUGCAUCCUAUACCUCCUGGGCUCAAGUGAUUCUCCCACCUCAGCCUCCCCAGUAGCUGGGACUACAGGCACGUAACACCGUGCCCGGCUAAUUUUUUUGUAUUUUUUGUAGAGACAGGGUUUUGUCAUGUUGCCCAGGCUGUGCUUGAACUCCUGGGCUCAAGCUAUCCUCCUGCCUUGGCUUCCAAAGCAUUGUGAAGACUGAACAAGAUGUAGACAUAAAAUGCUUUGCUGUGGGUCUGGUUCAUGGUGAACUGUCAGUACAUGUUAACUACUAUGGCAACACUCCUAAAAGAGUUCUAAAGAAGUGAUACCCAAGUAACACUUAAUUCUUAAUCUGUGUGCCUCAGAAGCACCAGCUGAUCACAUCAGUUCAUUGCUAUUUCUCUGAAAGCACCCUCCAACCCCGCCACUCUCUGCUGACAUCAUACUUUAUUUUCAUUCAUCCAGGUUGGACAACAUCAUUGUCACUAUCAACAUGACUUUGUCCCUUCUUGCUGUCUCCCUUUUAUCCCUCCAAAUGCUCAAUCGAAAUACCUGAACUACCCGAAAGUUAAAUGCACCACUGCAUCUAUUCAGGUUCAAGAACAGUAUUUCACAUUACCUGUGAAGCCCUCAAUGAAGGCUGACUGCUGUACAUCCCCGCUAAUCGUCAAGACAAGAAUUUUGUAUUGGCGGCCUGGUGUUAGGGAAGUAAAUCGAUACUCGGUUGCGGUAUUUACAAGGUGAAAAGGAGGAAAUACUUUCAUGUCAUUGAAGAGCAGCUGGAUCUCAUAUUGGUCGACAUCCCCAUUAGCUCCUGACCAAGUCACAUGCAAGUCCUCAGUGCUCCUGUUGCGCAAUGUUAGAUCCUUAACAGGCUCUGGAACUAGGGAGAAAAAUGAGAAGACAUUUCAGGAAAGGAACUGAUCAGAGUUUACCUACAUAAUAAUUUAUGAAUCACAUUCAAGGAACUGGCAACAUCUCCCUUCCCCAAAUAAACCACUAGCACUACUUCAUGCAUAAUUAAACAAGAAAAAUUGGAAGCAACUAUUAACAUUGUGGUUUUUUCCUGACAUAAAUGUUACAUGAUCAGCAUUGGUAGAACAUAAUUAUAAAAUGAGUUAUGAUCUCAAUCAUAAGAUAAAACAAGAAGUCUAGAAUCUAAAUGCCAUGAUGCAGGAAGAUAGGGAAGAAAAAUGGGACAUUUAGCCUUCUUGCUCCCUCACUAUGUUUGCUUUUAUCUACCAAUAAAUAUUCUGUAAUUAUAGGCCAUGGCUUGGCUGAAUGAUGUUAGCACCAAGUGAGACUUACUGGGAAUGUAAUGUACUAAUGAAUAAGCAGAAAAAAUUCAAGGUUCAGAUAAAUUACUAGAGACUUUCAAGUCCAACCAACUGUCAGAUUUUGCAAUCGUUCCACUUACUUG
RNAcentral lists this long non-coding RNA (2397 nucleotides) under Homo sapiens (human). Its description in RNAcentral is "HSALNT0369105". Lineage: Eukaryota; Metazoa; Chordata; Mammalia; Primates; Hominidae. The record is from RNAcentral.